UCCAUCAUCGAAGGAGCCCGUGAACGUGGAUCUAUCCCCAAGAUCCGCAUCCAAAGGAGCCCAUGACAAGGAGGCCUAGCCGGAGGAGCCACGACGCUGCUCCAUAUCGGCAGAGAAUCUAUGAUAGCCGGUGGCAGGAAAUCGCCUGGAACCCUAGAGCUGCUCGAGGAAAGGAAGAUCACUAGAGACUGCACCACAUGGAAGAUCAAUGGGGCUGCAGAUAAGGAGGAGGUUUAUUAGAUUAUAACAACUAGAACCGUACUAUUGAAGCACUCUAGUACACAAUAACACUAUAAAGAUGAAGGAUGACAAGAAGUCACCUCAGCACUCAAAAGAUGGUGGCACAGGAAGGACAUCACAGCUUGAAGAGCAACCAGCUGGAUUCAAGAUCUUGCACACCACACAAUCCAUCAGCUUGCAUGAAGCACUAAAGGAUUCAAGGCUUCGAUUGUUCUUUCUACCCAAGUCAUCACCACCUAUAGCUUUGAAGUAAGUUUACUUUUGCUCAGGUUGUAUUCAUGUUGAUGUCCUGCGGUGAGAUGAUUUUUUUAGCACUAAGUGUGGUGAAAUUGAUUUGAUUUGGACAAUUGUUUGGCAAGAUUUUCUAUAUGUAUUGUUGCAUGUACUAUGAUCUACAUCCUGGAUCUCUAUAUCCUGCUAGAGACUAAUCUACAUCCUGGAUCUCUAUAUGUAUUGUUGCAUGUACUAUGAUCAUCACUUGACUUGUUAUGUAUGGUCAUCACUGGACCUAUAUAUGUAUGCCUCUAUGUACCAUGAUCAGCACUUGACCUGUUAUGUAUGAUCACCAUUAGACCUAUAUAUAUAUAUAUGGCUCUUUGUGCUAUGACCAUCCAGUUGGUGUAUGUAUGGAGAUCUGAUAUUUUAAUUCUGAUUAUGUGAAUUUGCUCGAUUAGUGUGAUGUGUAUUUAUUAAAAUAUUCAAAUUGUAUCUACACCCAACUAUCUGCAAUAUAGCUUUGCCGACAC
Long non-coding RNA from Sorghum bicolor (sorghum), 986 nucleotides. RefSeq lists it as uncharacterized. The record is from RefSeq and is a predicted model, not a curated record. The transcript has 6 exons. NCBI's taxonomy places the organism in Eukaryota, Viridiplantae, Streptophyta, Magnoliopsida, Poales, Poaceae.